Chiloscyllium plagiosum (whitespotted bambooshark) is the source of this 1707-nucleotide non-coding RNA. NCBI's taxonomy places the organism in Eukaryota, Metazoa, Chordata, Chondrichthyes, Orectolobiformes, Hemiscylliidae. The record is from RefSeq and is a predicted model, not a curated record.
AGGAAGACAACAUUUCAAAGAAAUAUCCUUUUGGGGACAAUUAAGCAGGAAGCAGUCCUUAAAAGGACAGUGCUGCCGGUUCCCAGGUCACCGUGCCCAGGCUGGGAAGGGGCCAGCGUCUCGCGUCACCGGCUCCACUUCAGGAGGAAAUGGUUCACUUUCCCUUUUCUUAGACCCGUGGGCUGGAACAGGAUCCUCCCCUCUCUGCCAUUCUAUCAGAAUCCGGACAAAGAGUUGUUGUUCAAUGAAUCCCAGCGUGUCCCGUUCUGUUUCCUGUUGUCUGCGAGUUCGCUGUUCAUAUCACUUGCAGCUGACUUGAGGGGGCGGCUUUGUUACAUUUGCUUGAGUUUUUGCUCUUCCGAAAACCUCUGCAAGUGUGAGUUUGAGUUCCGUAUGGUCGAUAGCUUGCCUUCUAGAGUGAGACGGGAUAGCACAUUGAAAGAAACGAACCCACCGCCCUGCAAUUUAAUCGAGAAAUAGAGCGCAGGACUCAGAAUUUGAUCAAAGGACAAAAGCUGAUGAGAGAUUGAUGUAUCCAGGAUCAUAUAAGACAACAGAGGAGGGGUUGUCAUCUGACGAUAAAACAUCACAUCAGCCUAGUGCAUCCUCCACCAGCACACACAUACUGACAUUGACAUGUGGUUAGAAUGGGUGGCAGUAGAUGGGUGAACAUGGCAUAGAUGUGUGUGAACAGUGAAUGGAGAUUUUUUUUUAUUUCAAAUAUAUACUUUAUUCAUAAAAUACUUUACGCAAACAUCACUGAAGCCUGGGAGAACCUUUUUUUAUUUCAAAAAUAUAUUUUAUUCAUAAAAUACUUUACACAAACAUCACUGAAGCCUGGGAGAACCUUUUUUUUAUUUCAAAAAUAUACUUUAUUCAUAAAAUACUUUACACAAACAUCACUGAAGCCUGGGAGAACCUUUUUUUAUUUCAAAAAUAUACUUUAUUCAUAAAAUACUUUACACAAACAUCACUGAAGCCUGGGGAAAUGGAGAUGACGAGACCUGUGCCCACUCCCCAUCGGCUGCUGUGUUUUGUGCAGAUACUGAACCUUGGUGGCAGAUGCUUGGGCAGCAGCAUGUGUUCCCAGAGGCUAUACACUUCUAUAUGCAGAUUAAGGUGCUCUGUCCAUGUAGUUUUCUCCAUUUAGAAAUGCAAACAUGGAAUGCCAGACACAUUAUGCCAUCUAAUGGAUUUAACAGGUGCAAGCUGACCUUUAAGUAAAUCUUAAAUCACUGUGUUUAUUGGGUAUGCAAAUGAGCCCUGUCAGCUGAAUCUGUUACGUCCAGUCACUCCAAAUAAGCAGGGAAUGGUGAGUUGGCUUUGAAAAGUUCAAGGAAUGGCUUUCUGAAGCCUUUGGUAUUGAUGCUAAAUUCAUGAUGCCUUUGAAGUGACACAACUUAUGCAUGAAGCCACAGUGAUAUUGGUGGAUCCUGCCCAAACGCAUGAGUACUUGAAUAUGCCAGACCUCUCUAGGACUAAGCUAUCUACUGUGCUGGAGUAGAAAUGGCAGAAGACUAUCUUCACGUCAGUUGGAGGCAAUGAUAAAGCACAAUGUAGGAACACCCAGAAACACUUGUGUAAAUUCAUCUAGUAUAACUUAGGGUUGUAAUGGGUGAUACAUUUUUUGCUGAAUGCUAAACAUUAUAUAUGUGUGUAGAAAACUUAAAGCUCUUAUAAUGAAUUUUUUAAUAGUGUGGCUAUUCA